UUAAGUCGCCACCAAUGUUCAGCUUCACCGGUUAGUAUGAAGGCUGCUAGGGGGAUUUUUUGCUCCUUGGUUAGGUUUAAGAUAGAGAAAAGUUUCUCUAUCUACAGGAUCUAGGCUUCAACUACUAAAUAGUCGGGGCCCUCCUUCAAAGUACGAUGGAUUAAGUUUCCUAAAUUCUACUGUGUUGUAAGAGAUAAACCUCUCAACUGGUCGGUAGUCAGGGACAGGAGGAUGUUGGCAAGGGUUGGCUUGGUUUUGUCCUACGACUGCGAGUAGACCCUCAAUGGCUCAAAAGAGUUCAGUAAAAUUGGCCCUAAUCAUAUGAUCCUGGGCCUCAGGUCUUUCGAU
RNAcentral lists this long non-coding RNA (348 nucleotides) under Carica papaya (papaya). RNAcentral's name for it is "long non-coding RNA (CPAP_LNC008340)". Lineage: Eukaryota; Viridiplantae; Streptophyta; Magnoliopsida; Brassicales; Caricaceae. The record is from RNAcentral.